GACGAACGCUGGCGGCGUGCUUAACACAUGCAAGUCGAACGGUAAGGCCCUUCGGGGUACACGAGUGGCGAACGGGUGAGUAACACGUGGGUGAUCUGCCCUGCACUUCGGGAUAAGCCUGGGAAACUGGGUCUAAUACCGGAUAGGACCCUGGGAUGCAUGUCCUGGGGUGGAAAGCUUUUGCGGUGUGGGAUGGGCCCGCGGCCUAUCAGCUUGUUGGUGGGGUGAUGGCCUACCAAGGCGACGACGGGUAGCCGGCCUGAGAGGGUGACCGGCAACACUGGGACUGAGAUACGGCCCAGACUCCUACGGGAGGCAGCAGUGGGGAAUAUUGCACAAUGGGCGCAAGCCUGAUGCAGCGACGCCGCGUGAGGGAUGACGGCCUUCGGGUUGUAAACCUCUUUCAGCACCGACGAAGCGCAAGUGGCGGUAGGUGCAGAAGAAGGACCGGCCAACUACGUGCCAGCCGCCGCAGUAA
This 478-nucleotide ribosomal RNA is filed under the name uncultured bacterium. RNAcentral describes it as "partial 16S ribosomal RNA". It matches the Rfam family "Bacterial small subunit ribosomal RNA", at positions 28 to 523 of the family's 1533-position model. The record is from RNAcentral.